RNAcentral lists this long non-coding RNA (220 nucleotides) under Capsicum annuum. RNAcentral describes it as "long non-coding RNA (CANN_LNC004424)". The record is from RNAcentral. Lineage: Eukaryota; Viridiplantae; Streptophyta; Magnoliopsida; Solanales; Solanaceae.
UCCUUUGAACGUGUGUGUGCCUUGUAUCUCCUUGCUGCUGCUUUGAUAUUGCCACCGGGUAUAUCCUUAUAUUUUCCUAUUUUUUCGUGUAGUUGUGGCUGUGGGUGGUAAUGGGUGGUUAGGGUCAUGCCCGAGGGGGUUGGGGCGUGGGGUUGUGGUGGGGGCGGGGGAUGAGGAAAGGGCGGGAGUGGGAGGGAGGCCAAGGUUUGGCCGCGGGGGG